This is a transfer RNA of Porphyromonas sp., 85 nucleotides long. It matches the Rfam family "tRNA". From Rfam's summary of the family: Transfer RNA (tRNA) molecules are approximately 80 nucleotides in length. The record is from Rfam. Lineage: Bacteria; Pseudomonadati; Bacteroidota; Bacteroidia; Bacteroidales; Porphyromonadaceae.
GCCCAGAUGGUGGAAUUGGUAGACACGAAGGACUUAAAAUCCUUUAGCCAUUGUGGCUGUACGGGUUCGAGUCCCGUUCCGGGCA